CAGAAAAUAGUUUAUAAAAAUAUUAAUUUUGGAGAUUAAAGAUAAAGGUUUCUUUUUUUCUGA
RNAcentral lists this transfer RNA (63 nucleotides) under Erotylidae sp. BMNH 1274780. Its description in RNAcentral is "tRNA-Pro". The record is from RNAcentral. Lineage: Eukaryota; Metazoa; Arthropoda; Insecta; Coleoptera; Erotylidae.